GCAGGUUCCCCUACGGCUACCUUGUUACGACUUCACCCCAGUCACGAACCCUGCCGUGGUAAUCGCCCUCCUUGCGGUUAGGCUAACUACUUCUGGCAGAACCCGCUCCCAUGGUGUGACGGGCGGUGUGUACAAGACCCGGGAACGUAUUCACCGCGACAUGCUGAUCCGCGAUUACUAGCGAUUCCGACUUCACGCAGUCGAGUUGCAGACUGCGAUCCGGACUACGAUCGGCUUUCUGAGAUUGGCUCCCCCUCGCGGGUUGGCAACCCUCUGAACCGACCAUUGUAUGACGUGUGAAGCCCUACCCAUAAGGGCCAUGAGGACUUGACGUCAUCCCCACCUUCCUCCGGUUUGUCACCGGCAGUCUCAUUAAAGUGCCCAACU
This 387-nucleotide ribosomal RNA is filed under the name uncultured bacterium SA26. RNAcentral's name for it is "partial 16S ribosomal RNA". The record is from RNAcentral.